This 469-nucleotide ribosomal RNA is filed under the name uncultured Desulfobacca sp. RNAcentral's name for it is "bacterial SSU rRNA". It matches the Rfam family "Bacterial small subunit ribosomal RNA", at positions 335 to 795 of the family's 1533-position model. Lineage: Bacteria; Pseudomonadati; Thermodesulfobacteriota; Desulfobaccia; Desulfobaccales; Desulfobaccaceae. The record is from RNAcentral.
CUCCCUACGGGAGGCUGCAGUGAGGAAUCUUGCGCAAUGGGGGCAACCCUGACGCAGCAACGCCGCGUGGGUGAAGAAGGCCUUCGGGUCGUAAAGCUCUGUCAAGUGGGAAGAAUAGCCUUAAGGGGAAUAUCCUUGGGGUAUGACGGUACCACUGGAGGAAGCACCGGCUAACUCCGUGCCAGCAGCCGCGGUAAUACGGAGGGUGCAAGCGUUAUUCGGAAUUAUUGGGCGUAAAGGGCGUGUAGGCGGCCAGAUAAGUCAGAGGUGAAAGCCCGGGGCUCAACCCCGGAAGUGCCUUUGAAACUGUUUGGCUUGAGUGCGGGAGAGGAAAGCGGAAUUCCCAGUGUAGAGGUGAAAUUCGUAGAUAUUGGGAGGAACAUCGGUGGCGAAGGCGGCUUUCUGGACCGACACUGACGCUGAGGCGCGAAAGCGUGGGGAGCAAACAGGAUUAGAUACCCCAGUAGUC